AUUGAACGCUGGCGGCAUGCCUUACACAUGCAAGUCGAACGGCAGCAUGGAGGAGCUUGCUCCUCUGAUGGCGAGUGGCGAACGGGUGAGUAAAGCAUCGGAACGUGCCGUGUAGUGGGGGAUAACGUAGCGAAAGUUACGCUAAUACCGCAUACGCACCGAGGUGGAAAGCAGGGGAUCGCAAGACCUUGCGAUAUACGAGCGGCCGAUGUCAGAUUAGCUAGUUGGUGGGGUAAAGGCCUACCAAGGCGACGAUCAGUAGCUGGUCUGAGAGGACGAUCAGCCACACUGGGACUGAGACACGGCCCAGACUCCUACGGGAGGCAGCAGUGGGGAAUUUUGGACAAUGGGCGAAAGCCUGAUCCAGCAAUGCCGCGUGUGUGAAGAAGGCCUUCGGGUUGUAAAGCACUUUUGUCCGGAAAGAAAUGGCUCUGGUUAAUACCUGGGGUCGAUGACGGUACCGGAAGAAUAAGGACCGGCUAACUACGUGCCAGCCGCCGCCGUAA
Molecule: ribosomal RNA, 506 nt
Filed under: uncultured bacterium
Lineage: Bacteria
Description: partial 16S ribosomal RNA
Rfam family: Bacterial small subunit ribosomal RNA
Source: RNAcentral